RNAcentral lists this ribosomal RNA (443 nucleotides) under uncultured bacterium. RNAcentral describes it as "partial 16S ribosomal RNA". It matches the Rfam family "Bacterial small subunit ribosomal RNA", at positions 338 to 795 of the family's 1533-position model. The record is from RNAcentral.
CCUACGGGUGGCAGCAGUGGGGAAUAUUGGGCAAUGGGCGCAAGCCUGACCCAGCAACGCCGCGUGAAGGAAGAAGGCUUUCGGGUUGUAAACUUCUUUUCUCAGGGACGAAGCGAGUGACGGUACCUGAGGAAUGAGCCACGGCUAACUACGUGCCAGCAGCCGCGGUAAUACGUAGGUGGCAAGCGUUAUCCGGAUUUGCUGGGUGUAAAGGGCGUGUAGGCGGGGAUGCAAGUCAGAUGUGAAAACCACGGGCUCAACCCGUGGCCUGCAUUUGAAACUGGGUUUCUUGAGUACUGGAGAGGCAUGCGGAAUUCCUGGUGUAGCGGUGAAAUGCGUAGAUAUUAGGAGGAACACCAGUGGCGAAGGCGGCCUGCUGGACAGCAACUGACGCUGAGGCGCGAAAGCGUGGGGAGCAAACAGGAUUAGAUACCCGGGUAGUC